RNAcentral lists this ribosomal RNA (547 nucleotides) under uncultured Glomeromycotina. RNAcentral describes it as "SSU rRNA". It matches the Rfam family "Eukaryotic small subunit ribosomal RNA", at positions 548 to 1098 of the family's 1831-position model. The record is from RNAcentral. Lineage: Eukaryota; Fungi; Glomeromycota.
UUGGAGGGCAAGUCUGGUGCCAGCAGCCGCGGUAAUUCCAGCUCCAAUAGCGUAUAUUAAAGUUGUUGCAGUUAAAAAGCUCGUAGUUGAAUUUCGGGGUUCUACCGUCGGUCGGGCUAACAAGUCUGUACUGGUGUGUAGAACUUCUACCUUCUGGGGAACUAUCAUGUUAUUAAUUUAGCGUGGUAGGAAACCAGGACCUUUACCUUGAAAAAGUUAGAGUGUUCAAAGCAGGCUUAAGUCUGAAUACAUUAGCAUGGAAUAAUAGAAUAGGACGGUGGUCCUGUUUUGUUGGUUUCUGAAUCACCGUAAUGAUUAAUAGGGAUAGUUGGGGGCAUUAGUAUUCAAUUGUCAGAGGUGAAAUUCUUGGAUUUAUUGAAGACUAACUUCUGCGAAAGCAUUUGCCAAGGAUGUUUUCAUUAAUCAAGAACGAAAGUUAGGGGAUCGAAGACGAUCAGAUACCGUCGUAGUCUUAACCAUAAACUAUGCCGACUAGGGAUCGGACGAUGUUAAAUUUUAUUGACUCGUUCGGCGCCUUACGGGAAAC